Molecule: non-coding RNA, 560 nt
Organism: Camelina sativa (false flax)
Lineage: Eukaryota; Viridiplantae; Streptophyta; Magnoliopsida; Brassicales; Brassicaceae
Source: RefSeq, a predicted model, not a curated record
UCAUCCCAAAGGACCAAUGUAUUUCUGUUUUUUUCUAUAAUUAUAGUCUAAUACAAAGGUGAUUAAUUAUCGUUAUUAAAUUAUUCCUUUAACGAGAACCAUGUUAUUAUCGAUGUUCAGGAAACCAUAGAAGUCUGAUUUUCAAGGUAGAAUGCCGCUGGACAUGUCUUACAACUUACUUAAUUCUGACCUCCCGGCAUGCAAAGGGAUAUAUGAUACAGGCAUCCAUCGGAUCGCAGUUAGUCUCAAAAUUCCAGAGGAGACUGAAAGAGGGAGAAUGCUAUAUGAUUAUGAACUUUGAGAUUUUAGAUAAUGGAGGGAGUUAUAGAGCCAAUUCUCAUCCCUACAAGAUCAACUUCAUUAACCAAGUUUGUGAGCACUGAGCAGAUAUCAAACUUGGAAUUCCGUUUCAACUUUGUCACUUUCCCUGAUAUACAAGCUCGAUCUGACAAUGACAAAGUUUUCAUCGACGUUAUUGGUGAGAUCAUUGGAAUGAACGAACUCAAAGUGGUUAUUGUUUCGGGACGACAUACAAAAAUAUUAAAUUUACAGCUCAGAGA